GUCUUCUCUCCCUAAACCAACACAUGAUCUUCCUCUUUUGAAGUGCACCACACCAUAUGGCUAGAUGUUCAGUUCAUCAACGCCAAUUCUCCCAGCCGAUACUGAUAUCUGUUAGCGUGUGUCAUGUAGCUGUCUGAGAUGUUUCCCUUCCUUUAUAACAGUCUGCCUGUAUGUCAGGCUGCAUGUCACUCUGCAUGUCAGUCAGUGUAUCUGUACAUCUCUUUGUCUGUCUGUCUGCCUCUCUAUCAACAUGUAUUUCUGACUACUGAUCUCUCUCUCCGUAUAGAGAAAUAAAGAAUGUGGACUGUGUAGCCUUUAGAGAACCUAGACUGAGGCAAUUUAUCUCCAGGUCCAUAUAUUAUCUCCAGGUCCAUAUAUUAUCUCCAGGUCCAUAUAUUCCCCCAGACAGUAACACCCAGACUCUUCCAAUCAUGGCGAGCUACUUCAACAGGACCAGGAAGAGAAACGUCACCCUCUUUCAUCUAGACAUAACUCCACGAGACAACAGAACUGUCCAUGGUAGAAAAAGAGGAGAUCAUAUUUGAAAGAAGAAUCGUUCAUAAAUCUCUUAUUUAUGCACGGUCUCUAGUCUAGACUAUGAAGAAUGCAUUGGAGGCUGCUGAGGGGAGGACGGCUCAUAAUGGCUGGAAUGGAGCGAUUGGAAUGGCAUCAAACACAACGAAAGCAUGUGUUUGAUGUAUUGAUACCAUUCCCUCCUACCGCUCCAGCCAAUACCACGAGGCCAUCCUCCCCAAUUAAGGUGCCACCAACCUCCUUUGGAAGAAUGUCUCUUAGAACUGACUAGACCUCUGUUAUAAAGCACCAUGUCUAUAUCUCACAGUACCAGCUCAGUACAUCACAGUGGUUGAAGAUGUUACCAUGCUAGUGUCGCUAUGUUAGCUGUAUCUUACUGCAUUGGCUCAACAGUGUGUUGCUGCAUUGGUAUCUCACUGCAUUGGCUCAACAUUAUGUUGCUCCAUUGGUGUCUCACUGCUUUGGCUCAACAUUAUGUUGCUGCAUUGGUACAGUUGGAAGUUUACGUACACUUAGGUUGGAGUCAUUAAAACUUGUUUUUCAACCACUCCACAAAUGUAUUGUUAACAAACUAUAGUUUUGGCAAGUCGGUUAGGACAUCUACUUUGUGCAUGACACAAGUAAUUUUUCCAACAAUUGUUUCCAGACAGAUUAUUUCACUUAUAAUUCACAAUUCCAGUGGGUCAGAAGUUUACAUACACUAAGUUGACUGUGCCUUUAAACAGCUUGGAAAAUUCCAGAAAAUUAUGUCAUGGC
This 1290-nucleotide long non-coding RNA is filed under the name Salmo salar (Atlantic salmon). Its description in RNAcentral is "lncRNA (ENSSSAG00000119102.1)". Lineage: Eukaryota; Metazoa; Chordata; Actinopteri; Salmoniformes; Salmonidae. The record is from RNAcentral.